UGAGUAACACGUAUCCAACCUGCCGUCUACUCUUGGCCAGCCUUCUGAAAGGAAGAUUAAUCCAGGAUGGCAUCAUGAGUUCACAUGUCCGCAUGAUUAAAGGUAUUUUCCGGUAGACGAUGGGGAUGCGUUCCAUUAGAUAGUAGGCGGGGUAACGGCCCACCUAGUCAACGAUGGAUAGGGGUUCUGAGAGGAAGGUCCCCCACAUUGGAACUGAGACACGGUCUAA
This 229-nucleotide ribosomal RNA is filed under the name uncultured bacterium. RNAcentral's name for it is "partial 16S ribosomal RNA". It matches the Rfam family "Bacterial small subunit ribosomal RNA", at positions 107 to 334 of the family's 1533-position model. The record is from RNAcentral.